Long non-coding RNA from Ictalurus punctatus (channel catfish), 464 nucleotides. The record is from Ensembl. NCBI's taxonomy places the organism in Eukaryota, Metazoa, Chordata, Actinopteri, Siluriformes, Ictaluridae.
CCAGAUAGGACACCUGGAUCAAAUGACUACUAGACCCUUUGGAUGAGUUUCUGUGUACUCAUCUCAUUGCUGGUAUCUAGGCAUCGACCUAGUGCACUUUGCCCCGUGUUUGCGCCAUAUGGCCGCUUUUGAAAGGCCUCCCACUGUAGCUGUAAAUAUACACGGAACGACGGAGGAUCAUUCGGCAGACGUGUACAUCCUUGUGCUUUGAGCUGCUUGACUGCCACGUCCUGGUUCACAGGCUGCAGGUUAGGAUGUUCUGUCCAGGAAAUAUGAAGAGGAACGUGUUGUAAUGGCACUAAGUGGGAACAACACCGCGUUGACGAACACCACGUCGACGAACACCACGUCGACGAACACCACGUCGAUGACCACCAUGUCGACGGACACCACGUCGACGACCAGCAGGUCGAUGACCACCAUGUCGACGGACACCACGUCGACGACCACCAUGUCGACGGACA